AAGUCGUAACAAGGUAUCCGUAGGUGAACCUGCGGAUGGAUCAUUAAGAAGUACUUUUACUCUUUUAGCUAAAAGAGCUAAUCCUUUACCCGAAAGAUGGUGAAAGGUCUUUAACCGAUGUGGUCUAAUAGAACUGUGUUAGUUGGGCAGCAAUUGUGACCAUUAUAUGGUUAUGAUUCGCCCGACAUUAUACUAAACCAUAAUACUUUUAUACAUUACCGACUGAUGUUGCCUUGCGACUCUUUGUGAAUCACACGCGCCUAGUGUGUGUGUGAUGAUCAAUGGUAACAAGUAAAACAAUUGUAAUAAUCUAAUACAACUGCUAGCAACGGAUCACUCGGCUCUCACGUCGAUGAAAAACGCAGC
Molecule: unclassified non-coding RNA, 366 nt
Filed under: fungal sp.
Lineage: Eukaryota; Fungi
Description: partial internal transcribed spacer region
Rfam family: Eukaryotic small subunit ribosomal RNA (bases 1-46)
Source: RNAcentral